RNAcentral lists this transfer RNA (203 nucleotides) under Pneumocystis jirovecii. RNAcentral's name for it is "tRNA-Pseudo(AAA)". The record is from RNAcentral. Lineage: Eukaryota; Fungi; Ascomycota; Pneumocystomycetes; Pneumocystales; Pneumocystaceae.
AUAAAAUUAUUUAAACUCUUAUAUUUUCAAAUUAAAAAAAUAUUAAAAUAUAUAAUAUUAAUAUUCUAAAAAUAAUCAGAUCUAAAUAUUUUCAAAGCAUUUUUGAAAUAUAUAUAUAUUUAAUAUAUAUAAUAAAAAUUAUUAAAAUUCAUUUUUUAAUAAUUUUUGAUUUUAAUUUAAAGAUUCAAUUUUUUUAUUUUAUA